CAAAGGCUUGGUCCUGACUUUACUAUUGGCUUAAAUUGUACUUAUACAUGCAAGUCUCAGCCCCCCUGUGAGAAUGCCCUUGCCCCCUGCCCGGGGGUAAGGAGCUGGUAUCAGGCACAAUUCUUAGCCCACGACGCCUUGCUUUGCCACACCCCCAAGGGUACUCAGCAGUAAUAAAUAUUAAGCCAUAAGCGUCAGCUUGACUUAGUUAAGAUUCUUAGGGCCGGUAAAACUCGUGCCAGCCACCGCGGUUAUACGAGGGGCCCAAGUCAAUAGAUCUCGGCGUAAAGAGUGGUUAAGAUCACAAAAAACUAGAGCCCUACACCCCCAAGGCUGUUAUACGCACCCGUGGAGUGGAUGAUCUACCACGAAAGUGGCUCUAAUAUAUCUGAACCCACGAAAGCUAUAGAACAAACUGGGAUUAGAUACCCCACUAUGUAUAGCCUUAAACUUUGAUAGUAGUAAUACGUACACCUAUCCGCCCGGGUACUACGAGCGUUAGCUUAAAACCCAAAGGACUUGGCGGUGCCUCAGACCCCCCUAGAGGAGCCUGUUCUAGAACCGAUACUCCCCGUUUAACCUCACCACCUCUUGUCCCCACUGCCUAUAUACCGCCGCCGUCAGCUUACCCUGUGAAGGUAAAAUAGUAAGCACAAUUGGCAUAGCCUAAAACGUCAGGUCGAGGUGUAGCGCAUGAGGUGGAAGAAAUGGGCUACAUUCCCUGACCUAGGGUAUACGGAAGGGGGAUUGAAACAUCCCCCCAAAGGAGGAUUUAGCAGUAAGCUGGGAAAUAGAGUGUCCCGCUGAAGCCGGCUCUGAGGCGCGCACAUACCGCCCGUCACUCUCCCCCAGUGUUUAUUUAAAAAAUAUUAUUAAACCAACAUCUAUAACUAAGAGGAGGUAAGUCGUAACAUGGUAAGUGUACCGGAAGGUGUACUUGGAAUAAU
Molecule: non-coding RNA, 947 nt
Filed under: Regalecus glesne (king of herrings)
Lineage: Eukaryota; Metazoa; Chordata; Actinopteri; Lampriformes; Regalecidae
Description: 12S rRNA
Rfam family: Bacterial small subunit ribosomal RNA
Source: RNAcentral